GUUAGAACAAGACCUAAAGGAGACCUGUAUUUUGAACUAAGAACACCACUGUCUGUAAUCAAACAAGACUUCGCAGUAGUGCUUCAGUUUGGAGAAAAGAUGAUUCUCUGUGGCCAAACUUUCAGGUUGAAGCAAAUCCCCACACAGCUCAGGAGAACUGAAGGUUCAGUGGGCAUUCUCUAAUCCCACGACCAAGCCAGCUUCCUCUUCUACACCCAGUAACUCGAGAGCGGAUGUCAGUGAGCUACCAGCCUCUGGAGGACAAAGGCCAGCUCUGCAGGUGCCCGUCUGAGCUCACUGGUCAUCUAGCCAGUAGGGUACGCUGUAACGCUAUGAGGAGAAACGUUUCCCGACGGUUUUGCCUCCCUAACCCACGGGGGCGCCAAGGCCAAUGUGACACUCCCUCUGGAAUCCCCAGCGAAGAAGAAGCAUCAAUGUUCUGAAAGGGGAGGACUAUGUAUGGGCCGCAACAAUAAACAAACCAAGAAGGAAGCUUUCUACAUGCAUUCUGCACAAAUGUUUUUUCAUAACGUCUGUUUGGUUUACAAGUUUUAGAAAUAGGGUUUGUGAGGGCCCAGAAUGGUUUUUUUUUUUUCCCCAUCCAAAG
Long non-coding RNA from Acipenser ruthenus (sterlet), 607 nucleotides. RefSeq lists it as uncharacterized. The transcript has 3 exons. The record is from RefSeq and is a predicted model, not a curated record. Lineage: Eukaryota; Metazoa; Chordata; Actinopteri; Acipenseriformes; Acipenseridae.